AUGGCAUGGUGGAGAAUAUGCAUUCCAAAAAAGGAUGGAGGUAUGGGCUUUCGCGAUUUGCAUUCUUUCAAUUUGGCUAUGUUAGCACAACAAUCAUGGAGACUGAUUUCAAACCCAGACUCUCUAUGCGCUAGAGUUCUUAAAGCCAAAUACUAUCCUAAUUGUAACUUGCUGAAGGCGGGCCCGAAGAAGGGUUUGCCGUGUACUUGGCAAAGUAUAGUGGCAGGCCUGUGUACUUUUCGCAGAGGGCACAUCUGGAGAGUGGGCUCGGGGGAGAUGAUUAACAUCUGGGAGGACCACUGGAUCCCAGAAAGUAUAAAUCGCAUGAUACAGACUCCCAGUGGACAAAUCUUACUGCAGAAUGUUAAUGUCAUCAUUGAUCUGAUGACCGGAUGA
RNAcentral lists this ribosomal RNA (396 nucleotides) under Triticum aestivum (bread wheat). RNAcentral's name for it is "partial small subunit ribosomal RNA". The record is from RNAcentral. Lineage: Eukaryota; Viridiplantae; Streptophyta; Magnoliopsida; Poales; Poaceae.